AUGUGAGUCAUUUUCCAGACUAUUAUCCUGUAUCAGUUCAUGGAGGAGAGGAAAUACAAUGGAGAGAAACGUGCACACACACUGAGCAAGGAGGUUAUAGGUGGAACUCAGGGGAGCACAAAGAAUGCAUUUCUCAUAGAAGCUGAAAUGCAAUGGACAAUAUUGUGCAAAAGCCCUAAGGCUGUUAAAGUUAAUACGAAAUCAUGCUGCACCUGGAGGAUAGAAAAGUGCUCUGAGGGACUACUCUCAAAAUCCCCUGAAGCAGAUUAGGAAUACCUGCAGCGGUACCCUGGCUACUUUUUCUCCAUCCUCUCUGAACUCCGUGGGGUUAGGAUUCAGUGUGCCUCAGUACAGGUCAAAAGGUUAACCCAUUGGAGCAGAAUGAAAGUUUAAACUCAGCAAAAAAACCCCAAAAACCCACCUGAAUAUUUGGCUUGGAGAACACACGACAUUUCUGGAAACAGCAGCAUGGCCACUUGCUCACCUGCUUCUCUUGGAACUCAUUUUCCAGC
This is a long non-coding RNA of Ornithorhynchus anatinus (platypus), 512 nucleotides long. RefSeq lists it as uncharacterized. The transcript is spliced from 3 exons. NCBI's taxonomy places the organism in Eukaryota, Metazoa, Chordata, Mammalia, Monotremata, Ornithorhynchidae. The record is from RefSeq and is a predicted model, not a curated record.